AACUUAAAUAAAGGCAACAGUAGUAUACCGCUGUUCAAACUCAUAAAUUCACGGACAAAAAACAAAAUCGGGGUAACAAACUAAAACUGAGGGAAACGCAUUAAAUAUAAGAGGAAAACAACGACACAACACUACAAUGUAACACACACAGAAACGGACCAAGCAUCAGACAAAAUCCCACGAGAAAAACAAAUAUAACAUCAAAACCAAAUACAUGAAUUUCGGAUAGACAAGUACCGUGACACGUCUUAUCGCAAUGUGAAUUUACACUCAAAAUUAAGAGAAAACAAACGACGCAACGUUAAAAUGUAACACACACAG
Molecule: long non-coding RNA, 321 nt
Filed under: Mytilus galloprovincialis (Mediterranean mussel)
Lineage: Eukaryota; Metazoa; Mollusca; Bivalvia; Mytilida; Mytilidae
Source: RNAcentral